RNAcentral lists this long non-coding RNA (261 nucleotides) under Gossypium barbadense (sea-island cotton). RNAcentral's name for it is "long non-coding RNA (GBAR_LNC006816)". The record is from RNAcentral. Lineage: Eukaryota; Viridiplantae; Streptophyta; Magnoliopsida; Malvales; Malvaceae.
AUCUCAUUGUGUUUUGAUAUUUUGGCCCAAGAAUCAUAAUUUGGCUCUCAGUUCUUGUAUCUUGGGUUUUCAAACAUCGUUUUAGGGCCCUUUGAUUUCAAUUUUCAUUUAUAACGAUACAUUAAUGCCUAAAAUGAUUUUUGUUUGAAUCUAAAUUUGUUUUUAAGUGUAUUGUUUGAUUGUUUGAAUUGCUUCAGCAACAAUUGCGGUGCUCUAUAUUCGGUCGUGUAGGGUGUCACAAAUCAUGUUUUUAAGAAUUAU